Molecule: ribosomal RNA, 872 nt
Filed under: Lacticaseibacillus casei
Lineage: Bacteria; Bacillati; Bacillota; Bacilli; Lactobacillales; Lactobacillaceae
Description: bacterial SSU rRNA
Rfam family: Bacterial small subunit ribosomal RNA
Source: RNAcentral
AGUCGACGAGUUCUCGUUGAUGAUCGGUGCUUGCACCGAGAUUCAACAUGGAACGAGUGGCGGACGGGUGAGUAACACGUGGGUAACCUGCCCUUAAGUGGGGGAUAACAUUUGGAAACAGAUGCUAAUACCGCAUAGAUCCAAGAACCGCAUGGUUCUUGGCUGAAAGAUGGCGUAAGCUAUCGCUUUUGGAUGGACCCGCGGCGUAUUAGCUAGUUGGUGAGGUAAUGGCUCACCAAGGCGAUGAUACGUAGCCGAACUGAGAGGUUGAUCGGCCACAUUGGGACUGAGACACGGCCCAAACUCCUACGGGAGGCAGCAGUAGGGAAUCUUCCACAAUGGACGCAAGUCUGAUGGAGCAACGCCGCGUGAGUGAAGAAGGCUUUCGGGUCGUAAAACUCUGUUGUUGGAGAAGAAUGGUCGGCAGAGUAACUGUUGCCGGCGUGACGGUAUCCAACCAGAAAGCCACGGCUAACUACGUGCCAGCAGCCGCGGUAAUACGUAGGUGGCAAGCGUUAUCCGGAUUUAUUGGGCGUAAAGCGAGCGCAGGCGGUUUUUUAAGUCUGAUGUGAAAGCCCUCGGCUUAACCGAGGAAGCGCAUCGGAAACUGGGAAACUUGAGUGCAGAAGAGGACAGUGGAACUCCAUGUGUAGCGGUGAAAUGCGUAGAUAUAUGGAAGAACACCAGUGGCGAAGGCGGCUGUCUGGUCUGUAACUGACGCUGAGGCUCGAAAGCAUGGGUAGCGAACAGGAUUAGAUACCCUGGUAGUCCAUGCCGUAAACGAUGAAUGCUAGGUGUUGGAGGGUUUCCGCCCUUCAGUGCCGCAGCUAACGCAUUAAGCAUUCCGCCUGGGGAGUACGACCGCAAGGUUG